This 180-nucleotide ribosomal RNA is filed under the name uncultured bacterium. RNAcentral describes it as "partial 16S ribosomal RNA". It matches the Rfam family "Bacterial small subunit ribosomal RNA", at positions 987 to 1167 of the family's 1533-position model. The record is from RNAcentral.
CGAGAGGAAGGAGUUUGGAGACAAUGACGCCCUUCGGGGUCUCUGUGAAGGUGCUGCAUGGUUGUCGUCAGCUCGUGCCGUGAGGUGUCGGCUUAAGUGCCAUAACGAGCGCAACCCCUCUCCUUAGUUGCCAUCAGGUCAUGCUGGGCACUCUGGGGACACUGCCACCGUAAGGUGUGA